RNAcentral lists this ribosomal RNA (254 nucleotides) under uncultured bacterium. Its description in RNAcentral is "partial 16S ribosomal RNA". It matches the Rfam family "Bacterial small subunit ribosomal RNA", at positions 524 to 776 of the family's 1533-position model. The record is from RNAcentral.
UACGGAGGGUGCAAGCGUUAUCCGGAUUCACUGGGUUUAAAGGGUGCGUAGGCGGGCAGGUAAGUCCGUGGUGAAAUCUCUGAGCUUAACUCAGAAACUGCCAUGGAUACUAUUUGUCUUGAAUAUUGUGGAGGUAAGCGGAAUAUGUCAUGUAGCGGUGAAAUGCUUAGAUAUGACAUAGAACACCAAUUGCGAAGGCAGCUUACUACACAGUUAUUGACGCUGAGGCACGAAAGCGUGGGGGAUCAAACAGG